CACGUAGGGUGCGAGCGUUGUCCGGAAUUAUUGGGCGUAAAGAGCUCGUAGGCGGUGUGUCGCGUCGGCCGUGAAAACCUGCAGCUUAACUGUGGGCGUGCGGGCGAUACGGGCAGACUGGAGUACUGCAGGGGAGACUGGAAUUCCUGGUGUAGCGGUGGAAUGCGCAGAUAUCAGGAAGAACACCGACGGCGAAGGCAGCUCGCUGGGACGGUACUGACGCUGAGGCGCGAAAGCGUGGGGAGCGAACAGG
Molecule: ribosomal RNA, 253 nt
Filed under: uncultured bacterium
Lineage: Bacteria
Description: partial 16S ribosomal RNA
Rfam family: Bacterial small subunit ribosomal RNA
Source: RNAcentral